ACGGCUCAGUAACACGUGGAUAACCUGCCCUUGGGUCCGGCAUAACCCCGGGAAACUGGGGAUAAUUCCGGAUAACGCACAUAUGCUGGAAUGCUUUAUGCGUAAAAUGGAUUCGUCUGCCCAAGGAUGGGUCUGCGGCCUAUCAGGUAGUAGUGGGUGUAAUGUACCUACUAGCCUACGACGGGUACGGGUUGUGAGAGCAAGAGCCCGGAGAUGGAUUCUGAGACAUGAAUCCAGGCCCUACGGGGCGCAGCAGGCGCGAAAACUUUACAAUGCGGGAAACCGUGAUAAGGGGACACCGAGUGCCAGCGUCAUACGCUGGCUGUCCAGGUGUGUAAAAUACACCUGUUAGCAAGGGCCGGGCAAGACCGGUGCCAGCCGCCGCGGUAACACCGGCGGCCCGAGUGGUGAUCGUGAUUAUUGGGUCUAAAGGGUCCGUAGCCGGUUUGGUCAGUCCUCCGGGAAAUCUGACAGCUUAACUGUUAGGCUUUCGGAGGAUACUGCCAGACUUGGAACCGGGAGAGGUAAGAGGUACUACAGGGGUAGGAGUGAAAUCUUGUAAUCCCUGUGAGACCACCUGUGGCGAAGGCGUCUUACCAGAACGGGUUCGACGGUGAGGGACGAAAGCUGGGGGCACGAACCGGAUUAGAUACCCGGGUAGUCCCAGCCGUAAACGAUGCUCGCUAGGUGUCAGGCAUGGCGCGACCGUGUCUGGUGCCGCAGGGAAGCCGUGAAGCGAGCCACCUGGGAAGUACGGCCGCAAGGCUGAAACUUAAAGGAAUUGGCGGGGGAGCAC
Molecule: ribosomal RNA, 796 nt
Filed under: uncultured archaeon
Lineage: Archaea
Description: bacterial SSU rRNA
Rfam family: Archaeal small subunit ribosomal RNA
Source: RNAcentral